RNAcentral lists this transfer RNA (72 nucleotides) under Paenibacillus stellifer. It matches the Rfam family "tRNA". Rfam says of the family: Transfer RNA (tRNA) molecules are approximately 80 nucleotides in length. The record is from Rfam by way of RNAcentral. Lineage: Bacteria; Bacillati; Bacillota; Bacilli; Caryophanales; Paenibacillaceae.
UGGGGAUUAGCCAAGUGGUAAGGCAACGGUCUCUGACUCCGUGAUCCAUAGGUUCGAAUCCUAUAUCCCCAG